AGAAUGUCAUUUUUGCUGGAGAUUUCAAUGCUGACUGUUCGUAUGUGGCUAAGAAAAGAUGGUCUAAUAUUCGCCUGAAGAGUGAUUCUCGUUUCUGUUGGCUCAUAAACAAUGAUGUUGAUACUACAGUCAAGGGUACUGAUUGUGCUUAUGAUAGGUUUGUGAUUAGUGGCAAGGAGAUGAAGGAAGGAAUUGUACCUUAUUCAGCCAAAGUGUUCCGCUUUGAUCUGAUGUAUGAGCUCAAUCAAAGUGAGGCAGAACUUGUGAGUGAUCAUUACCCAAUAGAACUGCAGUUGCGAGCACUGACAGAUGACAAGGAGUAUCGAAAAGCAGAAAUACUGAGGAAAUUAUAUGAACUACUUGAAUUAUGCUGAAGACUGAAUUUAUUAGGUUUCAUCUCAUUUAGCAUAAAAGGGUUCACCAGUCAUGUGUAUCAUGAGAACAGCUUUGUGUUACAGCCCCCCCGGAAGGAUGAAAAUAGAGUCAUGAAUAUACAUUCCUCUGGACUAGGAUAUCAUCAGAACAUUGAAAGGAAACUCAUCAUGCUCCAAACAACAAUUAUCAUGGGUUUAUAUUUUAUACAACUUAGAUGAUAAGUAACAAGCAUUUUGCAUUAUCAAUUUUAUGUUCAUAAGUCAAUGUUUACACCAAGUGUCUUUUGCAAGUAUUUGUUCUCUUAUGGUUUUAUUUUCUCUCUGUGCAUUUAUAUUUCUUUUGAGCAAAGAUGAAAUCUGAAAUGGUUUUAAACGCUGAAACAGUAAAGUUGUAUUUAUGUUAUAAUUUGGCUGCAGCACUUGAUACUAAGAGUUGGCACAAAAGUUGAAAUAGUAAAUUCAAUUCAAUUUCAUAUUAUUGUCCACAGUGUGGAAAUUCAUUUUGCUUACAUUUUUGUUUAUAUUCUUUGAUAAAAGUGUCUGUAUUUCUACGUUAAUGAAGCGUUACCUCAGAGGAUGGUAUUCCUUGUGUCAAUGAAAGGAUUGUGAUUUAAGCUCUGUAUAUUAAUUUUAUUUUGAGAACUUGUAAAUGCUCAUAUUAUAUAAAUAUGUCUAGUGUUGUAACUUCUGAUUUACAUUAUAAUGCAAUCAAGUAUUGAUCCAAGGAAGUCUAUGAAUCCAAAUGUUUGUUUUCAAAAGUUAUCUCCAAAACAAUGGCUGGCUAUUUUUUGUUAAUUCUGAAAAGCAAAUUAUGCAUUACUAGUUAUAUGAAAGAGCGUUUUAUUCUGAAUUAUUUUUCAUGUGUUGUUUCUUAAUGCUUGGAAGACAGAGAGAGUACAAAAAUCAGCUUUUGGCAAAAAGUAUACACCCUUUGCAAUCUACCAUUCUAUGGUAAUCAUCAAUCCCCCCCCCCCCCCCUUCAGUUGUGUAGGGAAUUGAGAUGGUACAUGUAUAUGAUAUAUAAAUAAUGUGCUAAAUUGAAGCAAAUCUUAUGAAAUUGCAUAUGAAAUUGCAAAUAAUCUACUAAAUGUAAAACCAGAAUACGAAUCCAAUCAGAAUAUCACAGUGAGUUUACAACAGAGAUUUUAGUUUGUGAGGUUACAAACUCCUUAAUUAUUCAAUGAUAACUGGACUUCAAGUGGGUAUAGAAAUUGAUAUUGUAAUGUACUGUAGUGAUAUAAAAGAGAGGAAUAAUAAUCAAUGGGUUUCUCUUUUCCUUUGAAAGCAUGACAAUGCUGCUCUCCUAACCAAUGUAUCAUGUUUCCUUUUAGCUAAGAACUAAAGAACUACUACGACAUGUGUAUAUCAUACCAAAUAAAUUUUUGUGUUAGUCACACACAAGAAAUAUGAUAGGAAAAAAUAUCAGGAAAAAUAUCCCUUUUUUAAUUCAAUAUUACAUGAUAUCAUUCAGUUUAUCCAGUUGAAAACAAAAUAUCUUUUAAAAACCUUGUUUAAGUUUUUAUACAUUUGAUUUUUUUUCAUAGCUUGGAUUCUCUUAUCAGUGAUGAAACCUGUUUAGAAGUACACAAUUAUAUUGAUACCCGACCAAGAAAGCAAUGUUCCACAUUCUAUACUUGUACUCCCUCAGGGAUGGAUUAAUAUUUCAUAGUUUUAUUUUUAUAUAAUUUUCUUCUUGCAAUUAUGAUGAUAAACCUUGCAAAUGCAUCUCUAUUGGUUAUGUUUGUUUAGAUUUUGAAUGUAGUGUUUGUGGUAUUGUCUUUCAUUUUUAGUACUUCAUAAUUACUUUAUUACCUAUUACAAAAAAAAACAUGAGUACUUACACCAGUACUGUAAUUUACUGUCAAUAUGUAACUGAAAAUGAAUCAAACACCUUACAUGUUUUGUAUUUUUGCUUUAAUAACCAAAAUUUCUGAGAAUUUAUUAAUAUGAAUUUAUUACAUUUCAUCAUAGCAUUUCAAUCUUUUAUUUGUAUUAAUUUUGAAGGUAAAUCAUUGUGCUUGUGUGGUAUUGUUUAUAUGGGUUUAUUUCCAAUUGGUCUAAUGCCAAUUCAUCUAAGUACCAAAUCGUCUACUAUCAUUUGGUCCAUCAAUUUGUCCACUAUCCACAUGAUAUAAUUGCCAUUUUGUCCAUUCACCAUUUCAUCUAAUAAGCAGUUGGUCCAAUAGCCAUUUAGUCCAUAAACCAUUUGGUCAAAUUGUAAAAGUGUUAAUUGGGCAAAAUCAAUGAAAAGAAAAUGGGUAUUAGACCAAGUGGUUAUUAGACGAAAUGGUAAUAGACGAACUGGUGAUUAGAGGAAGAGAUUAUUGGACAAAAUGGAUAUUAUGAUUGUUUGUUAAACAAAAUUGGCAGUGGACGAAUUGGCAAUUUACUGCUUAUAUGUGUAUAUUUCACUCUUGUCCACUUACCUUUAAAAAUCUGAUUUGCAUCCACAUUGCCAUCAUCUGAUAAUUGCAUUGGGGAACUUGAAAUUAGACACCAUUCGUAAUUUAUAUUGUUGGUUCAGAAAUUAAAAUUAAUGAAAAAUUGAUUUCAUGAAUAUACUGCAAUUUCAAUCAUCUAGAUAUGUAUAUUUCAACUUGAUUCAAGUACUAGUAUUUUUUUUAAAGAUAAAAGUUUUGGGUUAUUUUGUCGUGAUUAUUGUGGAUCAUGUAUCUACCGUCAUGAGUUUAAUUUUGAAAGCAAUAUAAUGAAAAGUUUCAUGUGACCACACAUAGCAUUAGCAUCAGCAUCAACAUCAACUUUCAUCUGAUACAACUUAUUCAUUCAAUUUAAACUUAACAAUUGGCUAUGGAAUUUAUACUCAUUAAUUUAAAAACUAGAAUUUUCAGCUUUGCUAAGUGUAAGUUUUUUUUUCAUGUUUUUAAUUAGUCAUGUUAUGGGAUAUCAGAGGUGUAUGUAUUAUUAUGAUAUAUAUGUUUAAUUGUUUUGUGUAUAAUAAUGUCUUUUACUUCUUUCAAAUCUUCACAUACUACAUACUCUUAUGGUAUGAUUUAGUGAGAAUUAGACUUUUAUAUUAUUUUGCACUUUUAGUCAUUAACAAAAUAGCAUUGAUUUGCUUGUUGAACUGCAUACCAUAUUUUGUCUCACAACUUAAACAAAAAUAAAAUCAUAAUAGCCCUGAUAUUAUUAUCAGGCAUUUCAAUGUCCAGUAAUGUCAAUGAUAUUUAUAGAAUAAAAGUAGCUCUAUAAUCAUUUUACCAUUCCAUAUCCAGUCUUACUCCUAACAUGUAGUGUUGAUAUGUAUACAUUACUAUAUCAUGUAAUUUUAUCACCUCUGAAAUAUUAUCCACUGUGUUUAUUUCUUUUCAAAUAUUAUUAAUUAGAAAGAAAGAAUAUAAGAAGGAUAUUGGUCUUUCAAAUAGCACAUUAUGCAAUGCAUCUGGAUGAAACAGUACUUAUCAAUGUCAGAUUUAUGUGCAUGAAAUCUGGUAUAAGAAUAUAUAAUAAAAUUUAUUUCAAAGUGAAAAAGAA
Long non-coding RNA from Lytechinus pictus (painted urchin), 3866 nucleotides. RefSeq lists it as uncharacterized. The transcript has 7 exons. The record is from RefSeq and is a predicted model, not a curated record. NCBI's taxonomy places the organism in Eukaryota, Metazoa, Echinodermata, Echinoidea, Temnopleuroida, Toxopneustidae.